GCCGAGGUAGCUCAGCCUGGUUAGAGCGCCAGACUCAUAAUCUGGAGGUCGCGGGUUCAAAAACUACAGCCCUUAAACA
This 79-nucleotide transfer RNA is filed under the name Nanobdellota archaeon. Its description in RNAcentral is "tRNA-Met". It matches the Rfam family "tRNA", at positions 1 to 60 of the family's 71-position model. From Rfam's summary of the family: Transfer RNA (tRNA) molecules are approximately 80 nucleotides in length. Their secondary structure includes four short double-helical elements and three loops (D, anti-codon, and T loops). Lineage: Archaea; Nanobdellati; Nanobdellota. The record is from RNAcentral.